ACUAGGAAUCGGACCGACCUCAAUCUUAUGCUCCUUCGGCACCUUACGAGGAAAUCAAGUCUUUGGGUUCUGGUGGGAGUAUGGUCGCAAGGCUGAAACUUUAAGGAAUUGACGGAAGGGCACCACCAGGAGUGGAGCCUGCGGCUUAAUUUGACUCUACACGGGGAAACUCACCAGGUCCAGACAUAACUAGGAUUGACAGAUUGAUAGCUCUUUCUUGAUUUUAUGG
Molecule: ribosomal RNA, 229 nt
Filed under: uncultured fungus
Lineage: Eukaryota; Fungi
Description: partial 18S ribosomal RNA
Rfam family: Eukaryotic small subunit ribosomal RNA
Source: RNAcentral